RNAcentral lists this ribosomal RNA (453 nucleotides) under uncultured bacterium. RNAcentral describes it as "bacterial SSU rRNA". It matches the Rfam family "Bacterial small subunit ribosomal RNA", at positions 340 to 786 of the family's 1533-position model. The record is from RNAcentral.
UACGGAAGGUAGCAGUGGGGAAUAUUGCACAAUGGGCGCAAGCCUGAUGCAGCCAUGCCGCGUGUAUGAAAAAGGCCUUCGGGUUGUAAAGUACUUUCAGUCGUGAGGAAGGUGUUAAGGUUAAUAACCUUAGCAAUUGACGUUAGCGACAGAAGAAGCACCGGCUAACUCCGUGCCAGCAGCCGCGGUAAUACGGAGGGUGCGAGCGUUAAUCGGAAUUACUGGGCGUAAAGGGCACGCAGGCGGUUAAUUAAGUUGGAUGUGAAAUCCCCGGGCUUAACCUGGGAAUGGCAUUCAAGACUGGUUAGCUAGAGUCUUGUAGAGGGGGUAGAAUUCCAUGUGUAGCGGUGAAAUGCGUAGAGAUGUGGAGGAAUACCGGUGGCGAAGGCGGCCCCUGGACAAGACUGACGCUCAUGUGCGAAAGCGUGGGGAGCGAAACAGGGAUUAGAUACC